UUAAUUUAAACAAAAAUGUUCUUUAGAAGAUAAAAAACAUAAAAUCAAAUAUUAUGGUUCUACUUACCAAAGAUAUCUAGAUAACAGAAAAUUUGAACCAACAAGCGACCUGAAAAUCAACAAAUCAUUCAGGAAAAUUUGAACCAACAAGCAUGCAAGUAGUCGACCUAAAAAUUUUCAAAAUGCUGGUUUGGAAUCAACAUACCCAAUAACCUUAAAGGCAGCAACAAAAUAUUCAAAACCUGUCUGCAGAAGCGACAUACUACAACUGACCAACAUUUCCCGGAAGAAGUCUCAUGAAGACCACUGCGUGUAGCCCACCUCGCAAUGUUCCCAAUAUAAGGAAUUUCAUACUUUUCCGCAAAUUCCUUUUCUACACUUAAAUCUGCAAGGAAUUCUUGAUCAGGAUUCUCAAUUAUGCAUGGCUGGUUGUUGAUGACACUCUAUCAUUACUAAUUUAGUAGACAUUUUUCAUGUAAUUUUUAUUGAUAUUCAUUGUAAUUCAUGGGAGCUGUAAGCCACUAAAGCCAAAAAUCUGAAGUUUGAAAGAUUGGAAUUCGGCUGUCGAAUAUACUGAUUCAGCCACCGAAGGCUGUGGCUCGGCCACCGAAUUUCCUGAUGGGCCAAGCGUUUUUAACCAAUUUGACCACCGAAUGGAGAGGCUCCGUGGCCGAUUUUGACAGACUUAUAAAAGGAGAAGUUCAUUUUUAAAGCAGGAAUUCACAAUUUUGGAGAUCUAAAGGCAUAUUUUGGAGCUGAAGCUUUGCAAACAUGGUGGAAGACCCGCAAAUCUCAUAGUCGGUUAUCAAUUUAUGUAUGAAUCCUUUAAAUUUAUUUUAGUUAUAUUGUACUUUAGCUCUGAUGUAAUUUUAUGGGAACCCUAAUUUGUU
RNAcentral lists this long non-coding RNA (890 nucleotides) under Medicago truncatula (barrel medic). RNAcentral describes it as "lncRNA gene29850". The record is from RNAcentral. Lineage: Eukaryota; Viridiplantae; Streptophyta; Magnoliopsida; Fabales; Fabaceae.